This 428-nucleotide ribosomal RNA is filed under the name grassland soil clone sl2_503. Its description in RNAcentral is "bacterial SSU rRNA". It matches the Rfam family "Bacterial small subunit ribosomal RNA", at positions 50 to 494 of the family's 1533-position model. The record is from RNAcentral.
AACACAUGCAAGUCGAACGGAAAGCCCGCUUGCGGGUACUCGAGUGGCGAACGGGUGAGUAACACGUGGGCAACCUGCCCUCAGCUUCGGGAUAACACUUGGAAACAGGUGCUAAUACCGGAUAAUAACUUUUCAUCGCAUGGUGGAUGGUUCAAAGUUUUUCGGCUGAGGAUGGGCCCGCGGCCUAUCAGCUUGUUGGUGGGGUAAUGGCCUACCAAGGCGACGACGGGUAGCCGGCCUGAGAGGGCGACCGGCCACACUGGGACUGAGACACGGCCCAGACUCCUACGGGAGGCAGCAGUGGGGAAUAUUGCGCAAUGGGCGAAAGCCUGACGCAGCGACGCCGCGUGAGGGAUGACGGCCUUCGGGUUGUAAACCUCUUUCAGCUCUGACGAAGCGCAAGUGACGGUAGGAGCAGAAGAAGCACC